UCCCCGAUAGCUCAAUGGUAGAGCAUCUGACUGUUAAUCAGAGGGUUGCUGGUUCGAGUCCAGCUCGGGGAGCCA
Molecule: transfer RNA, 75 nt
Filed under: bacterium
Lineage: Bacteria
Description: tRNA-Asn
Rfam family: tRNA
About the family: Transfer RNA (tRNA) molecules are approximately 80 nucleotides in length. Their secondary structure includes four short double-helical elements and three loops (D, anti-codon, and T loops). Further hydrogen bonds mediate the characteristic L-shaped molecular structure. tRNAs have two regions of fundamental functional importance: the anti-codon, which is responsible for specific mRNA codon recognition, and the 3' end, to which the tRNAs corresponding amino acid is attached (by aminoacyl-tRNA synthetases). tRNAs cope with the degeneracy of the genetic code in two manners: having more than one tRNA (with a specific anti-codon) for a particular amino acid; and 'wobble' base-pairing, i.e. permitting non-standard base-pairing at the 3rd anti-codon position.
Source: RNAcentral